Molecule: long non-coding RNA, 2230 nt
Organism: Strigops habroptila (Kakapo)
Lineage: Eukaryota; Metazoa; Chordata; Aves; Psittaciformes; Psittacidae
Source: Ensembl
UUUUAUCAUAGUAAAUUUAAUCAGGCUUCUAACAAAGGAGACUCCUAACAAACUGUACAGUUAUAAUGAACACUUUUAAUCAAAAAUAUAUUAAACAUAAUUUCAAUAUUUUUUCGCUAGCAUUUCCAACCCAAAGCAGAAACUUUGAUGUAACACCCUGGAGGCUCUCAAUCCUGUAGACAAGCAGUGAAACGCUUCUGCCUCAGCGAAGACUUUGCCUUGUGGCUUCAUGACUGAUCUUGGCAAACCAGGUUGCUGCCAGAAGGGGCGGGUCAGGUCAAACUACUGUGCCACAACAGGUUGCCUCUCUUCCCUUCUCUCUCUCCUCAAAUUAGCAUCCCGUAGGAUCCGUGAGCUGAUUCCCACUCACUGUGCAGCCCACACAAUGCCGGGUGCCAACAGGGUAAGUUGCAGGUCAUCUCCUUCGAGCAAUGUGAACUCUUGUUGUAGAAACCAACAAAAGGCAACUGGAAAACCACACCCUGCCGACAUUAAAACUAAUCGGGCACCUCAGGAAUCUGAUGCAAUACAUAUUUAAUAUACCAUAUCAAGAUUUGCAUGUGUCAGGUGCUGUGAUACAGGCAGUACCUUGUUCAUGCAAAAUCACUGCCAUUUCUUUUACUUUUCUGCACACCAUUCUAAUGAGAUCUUGGAAGCUCUCUUGAUGAGGGGGCUGAAUUCAAUGACUUUUUCAUUUAAAAAUACUGUGCACUUUGGAAAUCUUUUUACAAAGUUUCACGUUUCUAAAUGCAAAUGUAUACAAAACAAUCAUGCUUAUACUUACCUCUUUGUGAUUGACUCAAAUUAUCCCCUUCCUAAAAUGUUCAUAAAAAACAGUACUUCAUUACAUGUAAGGCCAUACAGAAUCCAACAGUCAGGAUACCACCAAUGAGUCCUAAGUAUUUUUCAUCUCUGAAAACCAAUCAUGUAGCACUGGCAGCCUCCUGACCCUCCUCAACCACUCAAUCAAUUAUAAUCACUCAAUCAGGUCAUUAGGGAUGCCAGACAUUACCCAGAAUCACCUAGGUUUGAAAUGAUGAUGAAUUUGGGGCCUUAUGGUUCAACUUGACAUUACACCUAAUCCAAAGCAACGUGGAGUUCCUAAAGAGACGGUCCUGCUUGCUUUCGUUGCCUCCCUGAAUUCCUGCUCCUUCUUGAAGUCAGAAAUAAUGAUUACACACAGCCUUCUAAUUGUGAAAAGUGAUGGAUGAAAAGUGGUGAGAAGGCUUAAGGGGAGAGACUUAAGUGGUGAGAAGGCUUAAGAGAGAGAAGAAGGGACCUUUCCCUGCUCAGUGGCUGCCUGUAGUUACACUCUGUAAGGUGCAGUCAAAAACGUAACAAAGGAAACGUUUAGUAGCAAAUAGUAACAAAAAAAUGGAAUUCAUCCUACAUGAAACUCAAACACAAGCAGGAGAUACACAGGAGGUGGAAGCAGGGACAGGCUGCUUGGGAUGAAUAUAGGGACAUUGUCAGAGUAUGCAGAAAUGCGACAAGGAGAGUCAAGGCCUUUUUAGAAUAAUAUCUGGCGAAGGAUGUCAAGGACAAGAAGAAAGGCUUCUUCAAAUACAUCAAUAAUAACUGGAAAACUAGGGAAAAUGUAGGCCUGCUACUGAAUGGAGCAGGAAUGACUCUGGUAACAGGGGACACAGAGAAACUGAAUGCCUUCUUUGCUUCAGUCUUCAAUGCCAAGGUCAGCCGUCAGAAAUCCUUGACCCAGGAGACCAGGGAGAAGGUCUGGAGAAAGUAAGUCCUUCCCUUGUUUGAGGAGGAUUGGGUUAGAGAUCAAUUAGACAAAUCUGACAUCCACAAGUCCAUGGGCCCUGACAGGAUGCACCCAUGAGUGCUGAGGGAGCUGGUGAACAUCUUUGCUAGGCAACUCUUGAUCAUCUUUGAAAGGUCAUGGCAAUCAGGAGAGGUGUCUGAGGAGUGGAAGAAAGCAAAUGUCACCCCAGUCUUCAGUAACAGCAAGGAGAACCUUGGGAGUUCCAGACCAGUCAACCUUACCUGGUAAGGUGAUGGAACAGCUCAUCCUGGAGGCUAUCUCUAACCAUGUGGAAGACAAGGCAGCUAUCAGGAGCAGUCAGCCUGGAUUCACCAAAGGGAAAUUGUGCUUAACCAACCUGAUUGCUUCUACGAUGGGACAACGGGCUGGAUAGAUGAGGGGAGAGCAGGGGAUAUUGCAUACCUAGACCUCAGCAAGGAUUUCAACACUGUCUCCCAUGACAUCCUC